GUUAGGAAUAUUGGACAAUGGGCGCAAGCCUGAUCCAGCCAUGCCGCGUGAGUGAUGAAGGCCUUCGGGUUGUAAAGCUCUUUAGCCGAUGAUUAUAAUGACUGUAGUCGGAAAAUAAGCCCCGGCUAACUUCGUGCCAGCAGCCGCGGUAAUACGAAGGGGGCGAGCGUUAUUCGGAAUCACUGGGCGUAAAGCGUGCGUAGGCGGCUUUGCAAGUUGGGAGUGAAAGCCCAGGGCUCAACCCUGGAAUUGCUCUCAAAACUGCAAGGCUCGAAUUCGGGAGAGGAUAGCGGAAUUGUCAGUGUAGCAGUGAAAUGCGUAGAUAUUGACAGGAACACCAGUGGCGUAAGCGGCUAUCUGGACCGAUAUUGACGCUGAGGCACGAAAGCGUGGGGAGCAAACAGGAUUAGAUACCCUAGUAGUCC
RNAcentral lists this ribosomal RNA (425 nucleotides) under uncultured bacterium. RNAcentral's name for it is "bacterial SSU rRNA". It matches the Rfam family "Bacterial small subunit ribosomal RNA", at positions 354 to 796 of the family's 1533-position model. The record is from RNAcentral.